Molecule: long non-coding RNA, 340 nt
Organism: Oncorhynchus tshawytscha (Chinook salmon)
Lineage: Eukaryota; Metazoa; Chordata; Actinopteri; Salmoniformes; Salmonidae
Source: Ensembl
GAUGACAGAGGGAUGACAGAGGGUGACAGAGGGAUGACAGAGGGAUGACAGAGGGAUGACAGAGGGAUGACAGAGGGGUGACAGAGGGGGGGAGAGGGGGUGACCGGGGGAUGACAGAGGGGUGACAGAGGGAUGACGGAGGGAUGACAGAGGGGUGACAGAGGGGUGAUAGAGAGGUGACCAAGGGGUGACAGAGGGAUGACAGAGGGGUGACAGAGGGAUGACAGAGGGGUGACAGAGGGAUGACAGAGGGAUGACAGAGGGGUGACAGAGAGGUGACAGAGAGGUGACAGAGGGCUGACAGAGGGAUGACAGAGGGUUGACAGAGGGGUGACAGAGU